This 498-nucleotide ribosomal RNA is filed under the name uncultured bacterium. Its description in RNAcentral is "partial 16S ribosomal RNA". It matches the Rfam family "Bacterial small subunit ribosomal RNA", at positions 28 to 507 of the family's 1533-position model. The record is from RNAcentral.
GACGAACGCUGGCGGCGUGCCUAAUACAUGCAAGUCGAACGAGAGCGACCGGUUCUUGCACUGGUCAAUCUAGUGGCGAACGGGUGAGUAACACGUGGGUAACCUGCCCAUCAGAGGGGGAUAACAUCCGGAAACGGAUGCUAAAACCGCAUAGGUCUUCGAGCCGCAUGGCUUGAAGAGGAAAAGAGGCGCAAGCUUCUGCUGAUGGAUGGACCCGGGGUGCAUUAGCUAGUUUGUGAGGUAACGGCUCACAAAGGCCGUGAUGCAUAGCCGACCGGAGGGGGUGAUCGGCGACAUUGGGACUGAGCCGCCGCCCAUACUCCUGCGGGAGGCAGCAGUAGGGAAUCUUACGCAAUGGACGCGAGUCUGACGGAGUAAGGCCGCGUGAGUGAAGAAGGUUUUCGGAUCGUAAAACUCUGUUGUUAGUGAAGAACAAGUGUUAGAGUAACUGUUAGGGGCGUGACGGUAUCUAGUCAGAAAGCCACGGCUAACUACGUG